Molecule: non-coding RNA, 81 nt
Organism: Gossypium arboreum
Lineage: Eukaryota; Viridiplantae; Streptophyta; Magnoliopsida; Malvales; Malvaceae
Source: Rfam
UUGAGCUGUAUGAGAUGAAAUUCUCAUAUACGGUUCUCGGGGGAGGGGGGGGAGGGGUCCUCUUGGUUUACCUAUCUCAAU